GAUGAACGCUGGCGGCGUGCCUAAUACAUGCAAGUCGAGCGAACGGACGAGAAGCUUGCUUCUCUGAUGUUAGCGGCGGACGGGUGAGUAACACGUGGAUAACCUACCUAUAAGACUGGGAUAACUUCGGGAAACCGGAGCUAACACCGGAUAAUAUUUUGAACCGCAGGGUUCAAAAGAGAAAGACGGUCUUGCUGUCACUUAUAGAUGGAUCCGCGCUGCAUUAGCUAGUUGGUAAGGUAACGGCCUACCAAGGCAACGAUGCAUAGCCGACCUGAGAGGGUGAUCGGCCACACUGGAACUGGGACACGGUCCAGGCUCCUACGGGAGGCAGCAGUAGGGAAUCUUCCGCAAAGGGCGAAAGCCUGACGGAGCAACGCCGCGUGAGUGAUGAAGGUCUUCGGAUCGUAAAACUCUGUUAUUAGGGAAGAACAUAUGUGUAAGUAACUGUGCACAUCUUGACGGUACCUAAUCAGAAAGCCACGGCUAACUACGUG
RNAcentral lists this ribosomal RNA (497 nucleotides) under uncultured bacterium. RNAcentral describes it as "partial 16S ribosomal RNA". It matches the Rfam family "Bacterial small subunit ribosomal RNA", at positions 28 to 507 of the family's 1533-position model. The record is from RNAcentral.